RNAcentral lists this ribosomal RNA (297 nucleotides) under Triticum aestivum (bread wheat). RNAcentral describes it as "partial small subunit ribosomal RNA". The record is from RNAcentral. Lineage: Eukaryota; Viridiplantae; Streptophyta; Magnoliopsida; Poales; Poaceae.
AUGGCGGCUGAAUCAAGUUCACAUGGACGGCAGGGGAAGGAGACGACGGAGGAGCUGCUUGCCAGGCUGAAUCUGCAGGAGGAGGAAGACGACGAUUUUGUGUGGGAGGAGGAAUUGCCGGACUUGGAGGCGCCGACAAAGUGGCUGGCUAUAGCCAGAGUUCACACUCCCAAGACCUUUAGCCCUAAUGCUCUGUAUGGGGACAUGCGUGCCGCAUGGAACCCAGCAAAACCGGUGGUGUGGAGGAAGAUCAAGGACAAUCUGUUCACAGCUCAGUUUGGAUGUCUAGGGGACUGG